CCUACGGGAGGCAGCAGUGGGGAAUCUUGCGCAAUGGGCGAAAGCCUGACGCAGCCAUGCCGCGUGAAUGAUGAAGGUCUUAGGAUUGUAAAAUUCUUUCACCGGGGACGAUAAUGACGGUACCCGGAGAAGAAGCCCCGGCUAACUUCGUGCCAGCAGCCGCGGUAAUACGAAGGGGGCUAGCGUUGCUCGGAAUUACUGGGCGUAAAGGGAGCGUAGGCGGAUAGUUUAGUCAGAGGUGAAAGCCCAGGGCUCAACCUUGGAAUUGCCUUUGAUACUGGCUAUCUUGAGUUUGGGAGAGGUGAGUGGAACUCCGAGUGUAGAGGUGAAAUUCGUAGAUAUUCGGAAGAACACCAGUGGCGAAGGCGACUCACUGGCCCAAUACUGACGCUGAGGCUCGAAAGCGUGGGGAGCAAACAGGAUUAGAUACCCUGGUAGUCCACGCCGUAAACGAUGAGUGCUAGUUGUCGGCAUGCAUGCAUGUCGGUGGACGCAGCUAACGCAUUAAGUACACCUCCGCCGUCGGGGAGGUACGGGUCGGCGAAGAAUUAAAACUUAACAAAUAGAAGUUAGUACGGCGUGAGACGUCGCCGACGGACGACGACGAGGGAGUUAGG
This 617-nucleotide ribosomal RNA is filed under the name uncultured bacterium. Its description in RNAcentral is "bacterial SSU rRNA". The stretch from base 1 to 518 matches the Rfam family "Bacterial small subunit ribosomal RNA", at positions 338 to 873 of the family's 1533-position model. The record is from RNAcentral.